This is a long non-coding RNA of Stegostoma tigrinum, 2246 nucleotides long. RefSeq lists it as uncharacterized. The transcript has 2 exons. The record is from RefSeq and is a predicted model, not a curated record. Lineage: Eukaryota; Metazoa; Chordata; Chondrichthyes; Orectolobiformes; Stegostomatidae.
CUUCCAGAGCUGGUUCACUUCGUAUAGGGACUGAAAACCAAGUGAGGAGAUGGAUCCACACUGGCCAGGAUAUCAGGGAUAUAUUCCCUGCUCUUCUCAUCUCCAGAGAUGUUCUACAUUCACCUGAGAGGGCAGACAGUACCUUGGAAUAAAAUUAAUAGUUUCUUUAACAGUUCUGCAGUGUCUCAGUACUGCACUGAAGCUUCAGGAACACCAUUCUUAAUUUUGAAAAACAUGAGGAUGGAUAUUCCCUUGGACCUGACAGGAUAUACCCAAGGUUACUACAGGAAGUUUGAGGGAAGAGAUUGCCUCUUUGGUGAUGAUCUUUUCAUCCUGACUGUCCACUGGAUUAGUACCAGGUGAUUGGAGGGAGCAGAUGUUUUUCCCUUGUUCAAGAAAGGGAAUAGGGAUAACCCCGGGAAUUACAGACCAAUCAGUCUUCUGUGAUGGGCAAAAUAUUGGACAGAAUUCUGAGAGAUAGUAUUUAUGAUUAUUUGGAAAGUUUGAUUCGAGAUUGUCAGCAUGACUUUGUGAGGGGCAGGUCAUGCAUCACAAGCCUUAUCGAAUUCUUUGAGGAUAUGACAAAUCACACCGAUGAAGGUAGAGAAAUAGAUGUGGUGUAUAUGGAUUUUAGCAAGGAAUUUCAUGCUUCUGCAAAGUAAGGAGGCAUGGGAUUCAGGGAAAUUUGGCUGUCUAGGUGCAGAAUCAGCUGUCCAAUUGAAGACAGGGGGUAAUAGUAGAUAGAAAGUAUUCAGCCUGAAGCUUGAUAACCAGUGGUGUUUUGCAGGGAUCUGUUCUGGGACCUCUGCUCUUUGUGAUUUUGGACGAGGAAAUGGAAGGACGGGUUAGUAAGUUUGCCGAUGACACAAAGGUUGGUGGAGUUGUGGAUAGUGUGGAGGGCUGUUGUAGGUUUCAACGGGACAAUGACAGGAUGCAGAGAUGGGCAAAGAAGUGGCAGAUGGAAUUCAACCCAGAAAAGUGUGAAGUGAUUCAUUUUGAAAGGUCAAAUUUGAAUGCAGAAUACAGGGCUAAUGGCAGGAUUCUUGACAGUGUGGAGGAACAAAGGGAUCUUGAGAUCCGUGUCCAUAGAGUCCCUCAAAGUUGCCAUCUAAGUUGAUUGGGUUGUUAAGAAGGCAUAUGGUGUGUUAGCAUUCAGUGGCAGGGACAUUGAGUUUAAGAGCCAUGAGGUUAUGCUGCAGCUCUAAAAAACCAUUAGAUUAGACCGCACUUGGAAUAUUGUGUUCAGUUCCGGUCCCCUCAUUAUAGGAAGGAUGUGGAAGCUUUAGAGAGGGUGCAGAGGAGAUUUACCAGGAUGCUGCCUGGACUGGAGGGCAGGUCUUAUGAAGAAAGGUUGAGUGAGCUCGGCUUUUCUCUUUGGAUAAAAGAAGGAUGAGAGGUGACUUGAUAGAGGUGUACAAGAUGAUGAGGCAUAGAUAGAGUGGAUAGACAAAGACUUUUUGCCAGGGCAAAAACGGCUAUCAUGAGGGGGCAUAAUUUUAAGGUGAUUGGAGGAAGGUAUUGGGGAAAUGGUCAGAGGUGUGUUCUUUACACAGAAAGUGGAAUGCACUGCUAGGGGUGGUAAUAGAGUCAGAUAUAUUAGGGACAUUUAAGCGAGUCUUGGAUAGGCACAUAGAUGAUAGUAAAAUGAAGGGUAUGCAGAUGAGUUUGAUCUUACAGUAGGAUAAUAGGCCAGCACAACUUUGUGGGCCGAAGGGCCUGUACUGUUCUAAGUUCUAUGCUUAAGACUCUGGGGUGUAACAUGAAACUGCAAUCUUUUGACUUAGCCAUGAUAGUCUGCAGCUGACAGUAAUAAAAUUUCUGUCAAUUGGAUUCAGUUUCUAAGAUUUUCAUUCCAAAGGCUGGGUAUGGAAUGUUUCUCCUCCUGUAAACUGGCAGCCUGAAAGUUUGAUUUGGUUUAAACUGGUGAUAGCUAGUGAGAGCUGUGGAUAUCAGUGUUGUCUUGUGUUCUGGGAUCCUGAGGCUGUGAAAGGUGGUAAAGUUCCUGGGGUCAAGGGAUUGCCUUCAAUCAUUUUUGCUGAUGGACCAUUCUGCUUUGAUUCAAUAUUCACUAAAGGUCUAUUGUUUAGACACACGUCUAAAUAUAGUCAUUGUUAUAAUAUGAAUAAUUUUAUUGCAAGGAGUUUCUGUUUCAUACAUUUAUGACUGGUUUUAAAAUCAUGCAUAUUCUGUUUGGCUGUACAAUACUGGAGAUGGUUGCAGAGUAAAUUGCUUUGUUGCAUAAACAA